RNAcentral lists this ribosomal RNA (253 nucleotides) under uncultured bacterium. RNAcentral describes it as "partial 16S ribosomal RNA". It matches the Rfam family "Bacterial small subunit ribosomal RNA", at positions 524 to 776 of the family's 1533-position model. The record is from RNAcentral.
GACGGAGGAUGCAAGUGUUGUCCGGAAUCAUUGGGCGUAAAGCGCGUGUAGGCGGCUCGAUAAGUCUGCUGUGAAAGUCCAGGGCUCAACCCUGGAAAGCCGGUGGAAACUGUCGGGCUAGAGUCCGGAAGAGGCGAGUGGAAUUCCUGGUGUAGCGGUGAAAUGCGCAGAUAUCAGGAGGAACACCAAUGGCGAAGGCAGCUCGCUGGGACGGUACUGACGCUGAGACGCGAAAGCGUGGGGAGCAAACAGG